AUUGAACGCUGGCGGCAGGCCUAACACAUGCAAGUCGAGCGGAAGAAGGGAGCUUGCUCCUGGAUUCAGCGGCGGACGGGUGAGUAAUGCCUAGGAAUCUGCCUGGUAGUGGGGGAUAACGUCCGGAAACGGGCGCUAAUACCGCAUACGUCCUGAGGGAGAAAGUGGGGGAUCUUCGGACCUCACGCUAUCAGAUGAGCCUAGGUCGGAUUAGCUAGUUGGUGGGGUAAAGGCCUACCAAGGCGACGAUCCGUAACUGGUCUGAGAGGAUGAUCAGUCACCCUGGAACUGAGACACGGUCCAGACUCCUACGGGAGGCAGCAGUGGGGAAUAUUGGACAAUGGGCGAAAGCCUGAUCCAGCCAUGCCGCGUGUGUGAAGAAGGUCUUCGGAUUGUAAAGCACUUUAAGUUGGGAGGAAGGGCAGUAAGUUAAUACCUUGCUGUUUUGACGUUACCAACAGAAUAAGCACCGGCUAACUUCGUG
This 484-nucleotide ribosomal RNA is filed under the name uncultured bacterium. RNAcentral's name for it is "partial 16S ribosomal RNA". It matches the Rfam family "Bacterial small subunit ribosomal RNA", at positions 30 to 507 of the family's 1533-position model. The record is from RNAcentral.